RNAcentral lists this ribosomal RNA (2380 nucleotides) under Staphylococcus aureus. Its description in RNAcentral is "partial 23S ribosomal RNA". It matches the Rfam family "Bacterial large subunit ribosomal RNA", at positions 540 to 2925 of the family's 2925-position model. Lineage: Bacteria; Bacillati; Bacillota; Bacilli; Caryophanales; Staphylococcaceae. The record is from RNAcentral.
GAAAUAGAACCUGAAACCGUGUGCUUACAAGUAGUCAGAGCCCGUUAAUGGGUGAUGGCGUGCCUUUUGUAGAAUGAACCGGCGAGUUACGAUUUGAUGCAAGGUUAAGCAGUAAAUGUGGAGCCGUAGCGAAAGCGAGUCUGAAUAGGGCGUUUAGUAUUUGGUCGUAGACCCGAAACCAGGUGAUCUACCCUUGGUCAGGUUGAAGUUCAGGUAACACUGAAUGGAGGACCGAACCGACUUACGUUGAAAAGUGAGCGGAUGAACUGAGGGUAGCGGAGAAAUUCCAAUCGAACCUGGAGAUAGCUGGUUCUCUCCGAAAUAGCUUUAGGGCUAGCCUCAAGUGAUGAUUAUUGGAGGUAGAGCACUGUUUGGACGAGGGGCCCCUCUCGGGUUACCGAAUUCAGACAAACUCCGAAUGCCAAUUAAUUUAACUUGGGAGUCAGAACAUGGGUGAUAAGGUCCGUGUUCGAAAGGGAAACAGCCCAGACCACCAGCUAAGGUCCCAAAAUAUAUGUUAAGUGGAAAAGGAUGUGGCGUUGCCCAGACAACUAGGAUGUUGGCUUAGAAGCAGCCAUCAUUUAAAGAGUGCGUAAUAGCUCACUAGUCGAGUGACACUGCGCCGAAAAUGUACCGGGGCUAAACAUAUUACCGAAGCUGUGGAUUGUCCUUUGGACAAUGGUAGGAGAGCGUUCUAAGGGCGUUGAAGCAUGAUCGUAAGGACAUGUGGAGCGCUUAGAAGUGAGAAUGCCGGUGUGAGUAGCGAAAGACGGGUGAGAAUCCCGUCCACCGAUUGACUAAGGUUUCCAGAGGAAGGCUCGUCCGCUCUGGGUUAGUCGGGUCCUAAGCUGAGGCCGACAGGCGUAGGCGAUGGAUAACAGGUUGAUAUUCCUGUACCACCUAUAAUCGUUUUAAUCGAUGGGGGGACGCAGUAGGAUAGGCGAAGCGUGCGAUUGGAUUGCACGUCUAAGCAGUAAGGCUGAGUAUUAGGCAAAUCCGGUACUCAUUAAGGCUGAGCUGUGAUGGGGAGAAGACAUUGUGUCUUCGAGUCGUUGAUUUCACACUGCCGAGAAAAGCCUCUAGAUAGAAAAUAGGUGCCCGUACCGCAAACCGACACAGGUAGUCAAGAUGAGAAUUCUAAGGUGAGCGAGCGAACUCUCGUUAAGGAACUCGGCAAAAUGACCCCGUAACUUCGGGAGAAGGGGUGCUCUUUAGGGUUAACGCCCAGAAGAGCCGCAGUGAAUAGGCCCAAGCGACUGUUUAUCAAAAACACAGGUCUCUGCUAAACCGUAAGGUGAUGUAUAGGGGCUGACGCCUGCCCGGUGCUGGAAGGUUAAGAGGAGUGGUUAGCUUCUGCGAAGCUACGAAUCGAAGCCCCAGUAAACGGCGGCCGUAACUAUAACGGUCCUAAGGUAGCGAAAUUCCUUGUCGGGUAAGUUCCGACCCGCACGAAAGGCGUAACGAUUUGGGCACUGUCUCAACGAGAGACUCGGUGAAAUCAUAGUACCUGUGAAGAUGCAGGUUACCCGCGACAGGACGGAAAGACCCCGUGGAGCUUUACUGUAGCCUGAUAUUGAAAUUCGGCACAGCUUGUACAGGAUAGGUAGGAGCCUUUGAAACGUGAGCGCUAGCUUACGUGGAGGCGCUGGUGGGAUACUACCCUAGCUGUGUUGGCUUUCUAACCCGCACCACUUAUCGUGGUGGGAGACAGUGUCAGGCGGGCAGUUUGACUGGGGCGGUCGCCUCCUAAAAGGUAACGGAGGCGCUCAAAGGUUCCCUCAGAAUGGUUGGAAAUCAUUCAUAGAGUGUAAAGGCAUAAGGGAGCUUGACUGCGAGACCUACAAGUCGAGCAGGGUCGAAAGACGGACUUAGUGAUCCGGUGGUUCCGCAUGGAAGGGCCAUCGCUCAACGGAUAAAAGCUACCCCGGGGAUAACAGGCUUAUCUCCCCCAAGAGUUCACAUCGACGGGGAGGUUUGGCACCUCGAUGUCGGCUCAUCGCAUCCUGGGGCUGUAGUCGGUCCCAAGGGUUGGGCUGUUCGCCCAUUAAAGCGGUACGCGAGCUGGGUUCAGAACGUCGUGAGACAGUUCGGUCCCUAUCCGUCGUGGGCGUAGGAAAUUUGAGAGGAGCUGUCCUUAGUACGAGAGGACCGGGAUGGACAUACCUCUGGUGUACCAGUUGUCGUGCCAACGGCAUAGCUGGGUAGCUAUGUGUGGACGGGAUAAGUGCUGAAAGCAUCUAAGCAUGAAGCCCCCCUCAAGAUGAGAUUUCCCAACUUCGGUUAUAAGAUCCCUCAAAGAUGAUGAGGUUAAUAGGUUCGAGGUGGAAGCAUGGUGACAUGUGGAGCUGACGAAUACUAAUCGAUCGAAGACUUAAUCAAA